This is a long non-coding RNA of Astatotilapia calliptera (eastern happy), 1266 nucleotides long. The record is from Ensembl. NCBI's taxonomy places the organism in Eukaryota, Metazoa, Chordata, Actinopteri, Cichliformes, Cichlidae.
UGCACGUCAGAGAUGAUUUCACAAUUGUACUGAUGCUGUUGUGUAUAAAGACCGAUCAGCAGCUUUCAGCCAGCCAAACGCUGUCUAUACACACGAGGAAGAGAUGGAGACUAUGAAGACUCUGCUGAAGGUUUAUCUGCUGCUGCUGAUCGGACUUCCCUUCACUCUGCAACAAACAGUGGGCAAGUACAUCACCGAGCUCCAGGUGUCUCUGGAUGAAGCUGAAGAGGCGUGUCUUAGCAGUCAAGGUUUCAUCAAAAUCGAUGUUGAUCUGAACAAAGGAGCUGAAGGAAAAUACAUCUACCUUUGGUACAAAAAGGCAGCAGCUCACCAAUCACCAGGAUUCAGCUUACAUUCAAUGGUGGCAUGAGCAGGGGUCUGAUCACUGCAGGUUACCAGAAGAUUGACAAGAACCUCAAUGCCGGAACGAGCGGGAGACAACAUCUACCUGUGGUACUACAGAGGUAACUCAGAGUACGAUGUUCCCAUUGUGAACCUUCAUGUCUCUAUAGAUGCAAGGGAGGAAGCCCUAAUGUUCGCACUUGGAUGGGAGAGACUGGCCUGUGAUCUGAACCGGAAAGCUAGAGGAAAAUGGAUCUACCUGUGGGUGAAGAGGGAGAGACCAACCUACAUCUGUGACAUCGCUGCCAAUGCUGACUAUGAUGGAGACGCUGACUACUUCCGGAACGGCUACAUCAGAGUGGACGAAGAUACCAACAGAGGUGCAGAAGGAUCCUUUGUCUUCAUCUGGUACCGUCAGACCAAUAACUCUCAAAGAGCCAUCACAGAUCUGCAGCUCUCCACUAACGAUAUAGAGAAGAUGUUGUUUCCCUAUAUGGGCUUUACAAGGGUAACUACUGAUCUAAGCAAGGGGGCAGGAGGAAGUUACGUGUACCUGUGGUACAAGAAAGGCUCCGGUCAUCCCAUUCGGGCGGUCUCUGUGAUCGUCAACACAGCAGCUGUGGAGGCGUACAGCAUUCCCUGGGUCUUCAUUAGACAAAAAAACCUCAACAGUGGGAACAACGGUAAUACACUGUACCUGACCUUCAGUUCGUUUUAGUAACAGAGCUGGGAAUGCUCACUGGGCAGAAACCAAAGAGUCUAUGGUGUUCCUGUUUAACCAGUUUGAUUGUUUUUCUUUCCUUGCUGAAAUGAUUUGACUCCAACAAUGAUCAUUGAUCCUACAGUCAAUCUGUUCGAUUAGCUCUGUCUCACUGUAUUCUGAUGAUUGUCACUGUUUCAAUAAAGUCUGUUCAGAAUAUGAAA